Molecule: transfer RNA, 69 nt
Organism: Rhizophagus irregularis DAOM 197198w
Lineage: Eukaryota; Fungi; Glomeromycota; Glomeromycetes; Glomerales; Glomeraceae
Rfam family: tRNA
About the family: Transfer RNA (tRNA) molecules are approximately 80 nucleotides in length. Their secondary structure includes four short double-helical elements and three loops (D, anti-codon, and T loops). Further hydrogen bonds mediate the characteristic L-shaped molecular structure. tRNAs have two regions of fundamental functional importance: the anti-codon, which is responsible for specific mRNA codon recognition, and the 3' end, to which the tRNAs corresponding amino acid is attached (by aminoacyl-tRNA synthetases). tRNAs cope with the degeneracy of the genetic code in two manners: having more than one tRNA (with a specific anti-codon) for a particular amino acid; and 'wobble' base-pairing, i.e. permitting non-standard base-pairing at the 3rd anti-codon position.
Source: Rfam
GUCCCGAAGGCUCGAUGGUAGAACAUACGAUUCAAUCGUAGGGUGCAGGUUCGACUCCUGCUCGGGACA